GAAUCAGAAGAGCGAGUGAAGUCUCUCCUCGAGCUCAGAGUAAAGCAAACCAACAUCAAAAGCCAUUUUUCACUUCUGAAAUAACAUACAAUGUUCUGCAAGUAGCCUAGCUAGGCCUGCUGUAGGUUUGGUGUAUACAUGUAGUAUAAUAUAAUGCAAUUA
Molecule: long non-coding RNA, 162 nt
Organism: Etheostoma spectabile (orangethroat darter)
Lineage: Eukaryota; Metazoa; Chordata; Actinopteri; Perciformes; Percidae
Exons: 3
Source: RefSeq, a predicted model, not a curated record